This 253-nucleotide ribosomal RNA is filed under the name uncultured bacterium. RNAcentral's name for it is "partial 16S ribosomal RNA". It matches the Rfam family "Bacterial small subunit ribosomal RNA", at positions 524 to 776 of the family's 1533-position model. The record is from RNAcentral.
UACGGAGGGUGCAAGCGUUAUCCGGAUUCACUGGGUUUAAAGGGUGCGUAGGCGGGUAAGUAAGUCCGCUGUGAAAACUCGAGGCUCAACCUCGAGAUGUCGGCGGAAACCGUCUGGCUAGAGUCCGGAAGAGGAGAGUGGAAUUCCUGGUGUAGCGGUGAAAUGCGCAGAUAUCAGGAAGAACACCUAUGGCGAAGGCGGAUCUCUGGGCCGAUACUGACGCUGAGGAGCGAAAGCGUGGGGAGCGAACAGG